GGACAGGACUCUGGAGAGACUCCAUCACGGAGCACCGAAGGGGCAAGACGUGGCAAGACGCGCGUUAAAACUCUCAGGUAAAAGGACAGGGAUUGCAGA
Regulatory RNA element from Paenibacillus dendritiformis C454, 99 nucleotides. It matches the Rfam family "Glycine riboswitch aptamer". Rfam says of the family: This family represents the bacterial glycine riboswitch. Glycine riboswitches usually consist of two metabolite-binding aptamers domains with similar structures in tandem. The aptamers cooperatively bind glycine to regulate the expression of downstream genes. Lineage: Bacteria; Bacillati; Bacillota; Bacilli; Caryophanales; Paenibacillaceae. The record is from Rfam.